RNAcentral lists this transfer RNA (69 nucleotides) under Sarcophilus harrisii (Tasmanian devil). It matches the Rfam family "tRNA". From Rfam's summary of the family: Transfer RNA (tRNA) molecules are approximately 80 nucleotides in length. The record is from Rfam by way of RNAcentral. Lineage: Eukaryota; Metazoa; Chordata; Mammalia; Dasyuromorphia; Dasyuridae.
GAAAAUAUAGUUUAACAAAAACAUUAGAUUGUGAAUCUAAAUUUAGGAGUUUAAAUUACCUUGUAUGCC